AACGAACGCUGGCGGCAUGCCUAACACAUGCAAGUCGAACGAGACCUUCGGGUCUAGUGGCGCACGGGUGCGUAACGCGUGGGAACCUGCCCUUAGGUUCGGAAUAACUCCCCGAAAGGGGUGCUAAUACCGGAUAAUGUCUUCGGACCAAAGAUUUAUCGCCUUUGGAUGGGCCCGCGUUGGAUUAGCUAGUUGGUAGGGUAAAAGCCUACCAAGGCGACGAUCCAUAGCUGGUCUGAGAGGAUGAUCAGCCACACUGGGACUGAGACACGGCCCAGACUCCUACGGGAGGCAGCAGUGGGGAAUAUUGGACAAUGGGCGAAAGCCUGAUCCAGCAAUGCCGCGUGAGUGAUGAAGGCCUUAGGGUUGUAAAGCUCUUUUACCCGGGAUGAUAAUGACAGUACCGGGAGAAUAAGGUCCGGCUAACUCCGUG
This 433-nucleotide ribosomal RNA is filed under the name uncultured bacterium. Its description in RNAcentral is "partial 16S ribosomal RNA". It matches the Rfam family "Bacterial small subunit ribosomal RNA", at positions 29 to 507 of the family's 1533-position model. The record is from RNAcentral.